RNAcentral lists this ribosomal RNA (398 nucleotides) under uncultured bacterium. RNAcentral's name for it is "bacterial SSU rRNA". It matches the Rfam family "Bacterial small subunit ribosomal RNA", at positions 30 to 426 of the family's 1533-position model. The record is from RNAcentral.
AUUGAACGCUGGCGGCAUGCCUUACACAUGCAAGUCGAACGGCAGCACGGGUGCUUGCACCUGGUGGCGAGUGGCGAACGGGUGAGUAAUAUAUCGGAACGUGCCCUAGAGUGGGGGAUAACGUAGCGAAAGUUACGCUAAUACCGCAUACGAUCUAAGGAUGAAAGUGGGGGAUCGCAAGACCUUGCGCUAUACGAGCGGCCGAUGUCAGAUUAGCUAGUUGGUAGGGUAAAGGCCUACCAAGGCGACGAUCGGUAACUGGUCUGAGAGGACGACCAGUCACACUGGGACUGAGACACGGCCCAGACUCCUACGGGAGGCAGCAGUGGGGAAUUUUGGACAAUGGGGGAAACCCUGAUCCAGCAAUGCCGCGUGUGCGACGAAGGCCUUCGGGUUGU